This is an RNA transcript of Vicia villosa (hairy vetch), 2541 nucleotides long. RefSeq lists it as uncharacterized. The transcript has 3 exons. The record is from RefSeq and is a predicted model, not a curated record. NCBI's taxonomy places the organism in Eukaryota, Viridiplantae, Streptophyta, Magnoliopsida, Fabales, Fabaceae.
UCCGCGAAACCAAAUAAAUAGAACAAAGAAACAACGUUGUUUGUUUCACAAUCUCUCAAUCUUUCUCUUCUGGUUUCUGAAUCUCAUUAAUCUUUGUCUGUGUUAUCAUUUGGUUUCUCAAUCUUGUGAUGGGUUCGGCAGAUUUUACCUCACCCCCACCUGCACCGAAACCAAAUAAGAAAAGGAACAUACAGUUUUUAGAUGAUGACACGAUCACACACUCACCUCCUAUCGAGCUUGUUGAGAGACGCUUGCAAUUCACUGAUGAUGAUCAUACUCCCUCGCCAAUCAGAAGACGCUUACAGUUAAUCGAUGAAAUUAUUGAGCUUGGUGAGAUGCGAUUAGAACUGUUUCGUCUCAUUAACAACACCCAAGAAGCCAUGGAUGCUGAGAGAAAGAGGAAAGUCGCAAUCUUGAUGUCAUAUAGAUAACUUGAUUAUGCAUUUCUGUAUUCUUCUUGAUCAUCUGUUAGGUAAGAUUAGGUAUGUUCUUUUAUUUUGAAUUCAUCUCUUAGGUACCACACCAUUGCUUUAGGUAUGUUCUUUUAUUUUGAAUUCAUCUCUUAGGUACCACACCAUUGCUAUCCGUCUUGUCUUCAGGUACCUCCUCACCCAUUACAGAAUGCUACUUUCCAAAUACAGUAUGUGGUUGACUUCUGCAGUUUGUUUUGAGCUGUUUCUGGAACUUUAUUUUUUAUAUACUGGUAAGGGUGUUUUCAUUUUGAUAUGUAAUUGUGGAGUCCCGGCCCCAAACUGUAUUAUAUUUUUGCUUGAGGAACAUGGCUAGUCCUACAAGAAGAUUUGAUGAUUUCCUCACUUUACUGUGACACUGCACCACUAUACUAAGCUGCUUCGGGGGAUAAGGGUGCUUGAUCAAGCUCACAUUUACCUAUUGCUAUCUCUAUUUGUUCUUGUAUAGGAAAAUCUUGUUCUUAAGGCUAACCUUUUCAAUCAACUUCCAUGUACUACUAAUGGAUAGCCGAUUGAUCAUGUUCUAUCAUGUGUCAAAUUUGUAUACUGUAAAUUUCUGUCUAAUUAAUUCUAUGAAAAUUUCUCUCUCUUUCAACACCUGGUUUAGUUUAUACAGCUACAAGUUUGUUUAUAUAACGAAAAGGCCUACUCUGCCCUCCAGUCAAAUGUUAUGUCAUGCUCGCUUCAUCAUUUGUGACCACCGGACUUGUUUCACAUAAUUUGAUUAAUUCUCAUAUCCAACAUUAUUUGCUUGGCCUCAAUGAUAGGAGGAUCCUUGCUUGAAACCUCAAUUUUCAUAAGACCAAUCUCAUUUUAUGUUUGCUAAACUAAUAGUUUAUAGUUUGGUGGUAGAUUUUGACUUGUUUUUGUAAGAGUUUGCGUGUUAGUAUUAACUCGUGCAAGAAGCAUCUAGAGUGAUCAUGACAUGAUUGACUUAUUUUUUUGUUUCAUUGUUUCUUUUGGUCAUAUUAGAUAGGGAGAGCCAGAAGUUGAGGUUACAAAUGAAGGUGUUGACGCUGCUGGGCAUUCAAUUGGUACAUCUUCGGAGGCUAAAGCUUCUGCCCAAACAAACUGAAGGCUAAGAGAUAAGUAGUCAAACUAACUAGAGAAUGACCAUCUGCUUACACACACACACUAGUUGUUGUACUAGUUUAUCAGAUAAUUCAUUUUUUUUUUCUAAUUGAUCUUUCAGACAAUAUCUUACUUGAAUUAGCCUUUAGAAGACAUAUAGCCUAGUUAUUCUUGCCUAGACUAGACUAACCUAAAUGAGAAAAUAAUGUUGGAGAAAGUUAAGAUAACAUGAAUAAAUGAUGUUUUAGGUAAAUAAUGAAACCAAAAUUAAUCAAAUAAGUAAGGGUAUAUUUUGUAAAAUAAUAUUAAUGGACACUUUUUUUCUCAUCAAAAUGGUUUAUACUUAAGGACAGAAGCAUUAUGAACAUGCUGAUCUCAAUAUUUUGUAUUUGCAUGGCCUCAAUGAUAGGAGGACCUUUGCUUGAAACCUCAAUUUCUAUACGACCAAUCUUAUCUUAUGUUUGCUAAACUAAUAGUUAAUAGUUUGGUGUUAGAUUUUGACUUGUUUUUGUACUAGUUUGUUGACCUCAUAUCUGUGAUUGUGCAGUGUGUUUCCUCCAUACUUAUAGCAACAAUUAUUAGCAUAUUUGUCAACUGGAGAGUGGGUUUGGUGGCAUUGGCUGGGAUGCUCUGCUACUUCAUAGGUGGUCUCAUUCAAGCCAAGUCUGCCAAAGGAUUUUCAGGCGCUAUCUGCUAUAGCAUCAUUCAGACCUUGUCGCUUUUGCAUCUGAGUCGACAAACAACAUAAGGACUAUAUCAUCAUUUUGUCAUUGUUCUUGACAAUUUCAGUUUACGUGAAAUUGAAUCAGAUAUAUUGGACGACUCACUAUCCAAGAAGAUUGAAGGAACUGUCAAAUUUGAAACGGUAAAUUUCAAGUACCUUCUUCUUGGGCUGCUCGUGCUACUCAGGAUUGUAUUCAAUCUCAAAAGGACAAUUAUCACAAAUUCAAUAAUACUGCUCAAGGUCGCAUUAGAAUCUGGUUUGGAAUCAGACAAAUCA